CCUUCGGGAUUAGUGGCGGACGGGUGAGUAACACGUGGGAACGUGCCUUUUGGUUCGGAACAACUCAGGGAAACUUGAGCUAAUACCGGAUAAGCCUUUCGAGGGAAAGAUUUAUCGCCAUUAGAGCGGCCCGCGUAGGAUUAGCUAGUUGGUGGGGUAAAGGCCCACCAAGGCUACGAUCCUUAGCUGGUCUGAGAGGAUGAUCAGCCACAUUGGGACUGAGACACGGCCCAAACUCCUACGGGAGGCAGCAGUGGGGAAUCUUGCGCAAUGGGCGAAAGCCUGACGCAGCCAUGCCGCGUGAAUGAUGAAGGUCUUAGGAUUGUAAAAUUCUUUCACCGGGGACGAUAAUGACGGUACCCGGAGAAGAAGCCCCGGCUAACUUCGUGCCAGCAGCCGCGGUAAUACGAAGGGGGCUAGCGUUGCUCGGAAUUACUGGGCGUAAAGGGAGCGUAGGCGGAUAGUUUAGUCAGAGGUGAAAGCCCAGGGCUCAACCUUGGAAUUGCCCUUGAUACUGGCUAUCUUGAGUACGGAAGAGGUAUGUGGAACUCCGAGUGUAGAGGUGAAAUUCGUAGAUAUUCGGAAGAACACCAGUGGCGA
RNAcentral lists this ribosomal RNA (600 nucleotides) under Caulobacter henricii. RNAcentral describes it as "bacterial SSU rRNA". It matches the Rfam family "Bacterial small subunit ribosomal RNA", at positions 83 to 718 of the family's 1533-position model. Lineage: Bacteria; Pseudomonadati; Pseudomonadota; Alphaproteobacteria; Caulobacterales; Caulobacteraceae. The record is from RNAcentral.